GACGAACGCUGGCGGCGUGCCUAAUACAUGCAAGUAGAACGCUGAAGAGAGGAGCUUGCUCUUCUUGGAUGAGUUGCGAACGGGUGAGUAACGCGUAGGUAACCUGCCUGGUAGCGGAGGAUAACUAUUGGAAACGAUAGCUGAUACCGCAUAAAAUUGAUUAUUGCAUGAUAAUUAAUUGAAAGAUGCAACUGCAUCACUACCAGAUGGACCUGCGUUGUAUUAGCUAGUUGGUGAGGUAACGGCUCACCAAGGCGACGAUACAUAGCCGACCUGAGAGGGUGAUCGGCCACACUGGGACUGAGACACGGCCCAGACUCCUACGGGAGGCAGCAGUAGGGAAUCUUCGGCAAUGGGGGGAACCCUGACCGAGCAACGCCGCGUGAGUGAAGAAGGUUUUCGGAUCGUAAAGCUCUGUUGUAAGAGAAGAACGGGUGUGAGAGUGGAAAGUUCACACUGUGACGGUAUCUUACCAGAAAGGGACGGCUAACUACGUG
Molecule: ribosomal RNA, 497 nt
Filed under: uncultured bacterium
Lineage: Bacteria
Description: partial 16S ribosomal RNA
Rfam family: Bacterial small subunit ribosomal RNA
Source: RNAcentral